AACGGACGCUGGCGGCAUGCCUAACACAUGCAAGUCGAACGAGACCUUCGGGUCUAGUGGCGCACGGGUGCGUAACGCGUGGGAACCUGCCCUUAGGUUCGGAAUAACUCCCCGAAAGGGGUGCUAAUACCGGAUAAUGUCUUCGGACCAAAGAUUUAUCGCCUUUGGAUGGGCCCGCGUUGGAUUAGCUAGUUGGUAGGGUAAAAGCCUACCAAGGCGACGAUCCAUAGCUGGUCUGAGAGGAUGAUCAGCCACACUGGGACUGAGACACAGCCCAGACUCCUACGGGAGGCAGCAGUGGGGAAUAUUGGACAAUGGGCGAAAGCCUGAUCCAGCAAUGCCGCGUGAGUGAUGAAGGCCUUAGGGUUGUAAAGCUCUUUUACCCGGGAUGAUAAUGACAGUACCGGGAGAAUAAGCGCCGGCUAACUCCGUG
Molecule: ribosomal RNA, 433 nt
Filed under: uncultured bacterium
Lineage: Bacteria
Description: partial 16S ribosomal RNA
Rfam family: Bacterial small subunit ribosomal RNA
Source: RNAcentral